GGCAGACUCUGUGACCAUGCCUGCAGUCUCAGCUACUCUGGAGUCUGAGGCAGGAGGCUCGCUUGAGUCCAGGAGUUCGGGCUAUAGUGUGCUAUGCUGAUUGGGUGUUCACACUAACUUUGUGAUCAAUACGGUGACCUCUCAGGACUGGGCACCACCAGAUUGCCUAAGGAGGGGUGAAUCUACCCACGCUGGAAACACAGCAGGUCAAAACUCCUGUGCUGCUCAGUAGUGGUAUCACAACUGUGAAUAGCCACUGCACUCCAGCCUGGGCAAUAUAGCAAGAUCCCAUCUCUC
Pongo abelii (Sumatran orangutan) is the source of this 297-nucleotide unclassified non-coding RNA. It matches the Rfam family "Metazoan signal recognition particle RNA". From Rfam's summary of the family: The signal recognition particle (SRP) is a universally conserved ribonucleoprotein. It is involved in the co-translational targeting of proteins to membranes. The eukaryotic SRP consists of a 300-nucleotide 7S RNA and six proteins: SRPs 72, 68, 54, 19, 14, and 9. NCBI's taxonomy places the organism in Eukaryota, Metazoa, Chordata, Mammalia, Primates, Hominidae. The record is from Ensembl.